This is a non-coding RNA of Microcebus murinus (gray mouse lemur), 531 nucleotides long. The record is from RefSeq and is a predicted model, not a curated record. NCBI's taxonomy places the organism in Eukaryota, Metazoa, Chordata, Mammalia, Primates, Cheirogaleidae.
UGAGGGCUCUGGUCCUGGCAACGAGAGCUGCUGAGGAGAAGCAGGUGUGGGAAAGCCCCGGAUGAACACCUGGUGAGGCCAAGCGCUUGCAGGGCCUGUGUGAAAAGUCCUUUCUGAGAACGACUCUCUUUGUGCUCACAAUCUGUCUCUCUGUGAAAGCGAAUCUGUUCACUGGAUGCAGAAAUGAAGUUUCAGAAACGAGGCCCCGAGGGUUCCCUGAGCUGACACGGAGAAGACAGUGAAUGUGAGAUCGAGGAUUGGUGCCGGCAGAGGGCUGGAAAUGGUGUUAGGAGGGCGACCAGGUGUGCUGUCUGGUUGCACAGCCCCGCGUGUGGAAGAUGGCGUCACACCGCGGACUUGGCUCAUUCUGCUGCUGCCUUUGCAGCUCUCCGCAGGAGGCGAGGUAAUGGUAAGUGGUAGCUCUGUAUGUCACUAUCUGACAGUCAUCCCAGCAAGAGCAUUUUAAUUUUCUCACGUAAAGGCGCUCUCGGAGGAAACACAAUUAAUUGGCUUCUGAAACGCCUUGACACU